Molecule: ribosomal RNA, 654 nt
Filed under: uncultured archaeon
Lineage: Archaea
Description: bacterial SSU rRNA
Rfam family: Archaeal small subunit ribosomal RNA
Source: RNAcentral
ACUCACUGUUGUCGGAUUGAUACUAAGCUAUGCGAGUCAUUGUAGCAAUACAAAGCAGACGGCUCAGUAACGCGUAGUCAAUCUACCCUAUGGACGGGAAUAACCUCGGGAAACUGAGAAUAAUGCCCGAUAGAACAUUAUGCCUGGAAUGGUCUAUGUUUCAAAUGAUUUAUCGCCAUAGGAUGGGACUGCGGCCUAUCAGUUUGUUGGUGAGGUAAUGGCCCACCAAGACUAUUACAGGUACGGGCUCUGAGAGGAGUGGCCCGGAGAUGGGUACUGAGACACGGACCCAGGCCCUAUGGGGUGCAGCAGGCGAGAAAACUUUGCAAUGUGCGAAAGCACGACAAGGUUAAUCCGAGUGGUUUCUGCUAAAGAAACCUUUUGUCAGUCCUAGAAACACUAACGAAUAAGGGGUGGGCAAGUUCUGGUGUCAGCCGCCGCGGUAAAACCAGCACCUCAAGUGGUCGGGAUGAUUAUUGGGCCUAAAGCAUCCGUAGCUCGUUUUGUAAGUUUUCGGUUAAAUCCAUACGCUUAGCGUAUGGGCUGCCGGGAAUACUGCAUAACUAGGAAGUGGGAGAGGUAGACGGUACUCGGUGGGAAGGGGUAAAAUCCUUUGAUCUAUUGAUGACCACCUGUGGCGAAGGCGGUCUACCA